AAUCAACGCUGGCGGCGUGCCUAACACAUGCAAGUCGAACGCGAAAGUCCCGCAAGGGAUCAGUAGAGUGGCAAACGGGUGAGUAACACGUGGGUGACCUGCCUUCGAGUGGGGGAUAACGUCCCGAAAGGGACGCUAAUACCGCAUGACAUCCUGCUCUUGAACGAGUGGAGAUCAAAGCUGGGGAUCGCAAGACCUAGCGCUCAAAGAGGGGCCCGCGCCUGAUUAGCUAGUUGGUGGGGUAACGGCUCACCAAGGCAACGAUCAGUAUCCGGCCUGAGAGGGCGGACGGACACACUGGGACUGAGACACGGCCCAGACUCCUACGGGA
RNAcentral lists this ribosomal RNA (331 nucleotides) under uncultured bacterium. Its description in RNAcentral is "bacterial SSU rRNA". It matches the Rfam family "Bacterial small subunit ribosomal RNA", at positions 32 to 346 of the family's 1533-position model. The record is from RNAcentral.